AUUGAACGCUGGCGGCAUGCCUUACACAUGCAAGUCGAACGGCAGCACGGGUGCUUGCACCUGGUGGCGAGUGGCGAACGGGUGAGUAAUACAUCGGAACAUGUCCUGUAGUGGGGGAUAGCCCGGCGAAAGCCGGAUUAAUACCGCAUACGAUCUACGGAUGAAAGCGGGGGACCUUCGGGCCUCGCGCUAUAGGGUUGGCCGAUGGUUGAUUAGCUAGUUGGUGGGGUAAAGGCCUACCAAGGCGACGAUCAGUAGCUGGUCUGAGAGGACGACCAGCCACACUGGGACUGAGACACGGCCCAGACGCCUACGGGAGGCAGCAGUGGGGAAUUUUGGACAAUGGGCGAAAGCCUGAUCCAGCAAUGCCGCGUGUGUGAAGAAGGCCUUCGGGUUGUAAAGCACUUUUGUCCGGAAAGAAAUCCUUGGCCCUAAUACGGUCGGGGGAUGACGGUACCGGAAGAAUAAGCACCGGCUAACUACGUG
This 486-nucleotide ribosomal RNA is filed under the name uncultured bacterium. RNAcentral describes it as "partial 16S ribosomal RNA". It matches the Rfam family "Bacterial small subunit ribosomal RNA", at positions 30 to 507 of the family's 1533-position model. The record is from RNAcentral.